CCUACGGGAGGCAGCAGUAGGGAAUAUUGCUCAAUGGGGGAAACCCUGAAGCAGCAACGCCGCGUGGAGGAUGAAGGUUUUCGGAUUGUAAAGUACUUUUGGUAGAGAAGAGAAUGACGGUGUCUAAAGAAUAAGCAACGGAUAACUCCGUGCCAGCAGCCGCGGGAAAACGGAGGGGGCAAGCGUUACUCGGAAUCCCGGGGCGUAAAGAGCGCGGAGGGGGGAUGGCAAGUCAGAUGUGAAAUCCUAUGGCUUAACCUUAGAACUGCAUUUGAAACUGUUAUUCUAGAGUAUGGGAGAGUUAGGUUGAAUUCUUGUUGUAGGGGUCAAAUCCGUAGAGAUCUAGAGGAAUACUCAUUGCGAAGGCGACCUCCUAGACCAUACCUGACGCUGAUGCGC
This 399-nucleotide ribosomal RNA is filed under the name uncultured bacterium. RNAcentral describes it as "partial 16S ribosomal RNA". It matches the Rfam family "Bacterial small subunit ribosomal RNA", at positions 338 to 754 of the family's 1533-position model. The record is from RNAcentral.